AGACAGAGAGAAGACAGAACAACUUAAAUAUGGUGUGACUGUAAUUUUUUUUAUUGAUUUUUUUUUUUGGUUUUUUUUUUUUUUUUUUUUUUCCCUUUUUUUUUUUUUUU
RNAcentral lists this non-coding RNA (110 nucleotides) under Foraminifera environmental sample. The record is from RNAcentral. Lineage: Eukaryota; Foraminifera.